This 440-nucleotide ribosomal RNA is filed under the name uncultured bacterium. RNAcentral's name for it is "partial 16S ribosomal RNA". It matches the Rfam family "Bacterial small subunit ribosomal RNA", at positions 338 to 795 of the family's 1533-position model. The record is from RNAcentral.
CCUACGGGUGGCAGCAGUGGGGGAUAUUGCACAAUGGGGGAAACCCUGAUGCAGCGACGCCGCGUGAGUGAUGAAGUUUUUCGGUAUGUAAAGCUCUAUCAUCAGGGAAGAAAAUGCCAGUACCUGACUAAGAAGCCCCUGCUAAUUACGUGCCAGCAGCCGCGGGAAUACUUAGGGGGCGAGCGUUAUCCGGAUUUACUGGGGGUAAAGGGAGCGUAGAUGGUUAUGUAAGUCUGGAGUGAAAGCCCGGGGCUCAACCGCGGGAGUGCUUUGGAAACUGUGUAACUGGAGUACAGAAGAGGAAGGCGGAAUUCCAGGUGUAGCGGUGAAAUGCGUAGAUAUCAGGAGGAACACCAGCGGCGAAGGCGACCUGCUGGACUGAAACUGACGUUGAGGCACGAAAGCGUGGGGAGCAAACAGGAUUAGAUACCCCGGUAGUC